This is a long non-coding RNA of Zea mays, 1956 nucleotides long. RefSeq lists it as uncharacterized. The transcript is spliced from 2 exons. NCBI's taxonomy places the organism in Eukaryota, Viridiplantae, Streptophyta, Magnoliopsida, Poales, Poaceae. The record is from RefSeq and is a predicted model, not a curated record.
ACGGACCCUCGAGCUAGCCCCGCUUCCCUCACGGUAUCGCUGCCAGUGGACCCAACCUCACCACGCCAUGCACCGUCACUGCCACAUGGGGUCCCGCUCCACUGUUCUUCUUCAUAUCAACCACCUUGAGGGAUUUGUGUGUCGUCGCAACGACCGCACCUGGAACCCUGUCGGUGCAUAAAAACCCAGACCGCGACCCUAUAGUCAUCCGCAUGCCCCCCAUCUCGCCUCAUAGACACCAGCCGCCGUUGGGAGAGAAGAGAGGAGGGAGUGGAGGCCCAGAGCACCACCAACACCGUCUUCUGCCACCACCGUCGUUCGGCCCUCGCUAGGAGGCCCAGAGGGUCCAUCGUGUCGCGUGGGAUCUAGGCGGACCUUCCCUCCUCUGGGAGUCAGUUGGGCUCACCGGGAAUCGCUCGAUGGAGUCAACUCGCCACAAGCAUCCGCGCCCUGCCAUAGACCAACCCCUCCACGACAAUUGCUCGGCGGUAAGAUCAUCCCCACCUGGUCACCUUAGGCUCCUCUCUAUAUAGCACCGGUUUAAUUUCGAGAUACUACAACUAAGCGAAUGUUGGUCGUGCGACGACGAGCUCGCCGCCGUGGCUAGCUCGGGCGCGGCCGCCCAGCUGGUCGUCGGGGUCGAGGAGGGUGCCCUAGCCAUCGAUUCGAUCUUGGGCGACUCGGAUUUGAGGGUGUACCGAUCGCUAGAUAUCGAGCGGACCGCAGAGAUUGAACUGAUGGUGUAUCCCUCGUAGUCGGUUGUGCGCCGUCCGAUCUGAAUCUGACGCAUGAAAACCCAUCCAAUUCUUUAAAAUCUGGAGCAUUGAUCUUGAUCCGAGGGUUGUCGGUUGGAGUCUGUUCGGUCUAAUCUGGAUCAUCCAAUGGAGAUCCAAUGGCCAGAGGUCAUCGAUACCCCUUCGGCUGAACGGUUUUACAUAAGAGACCCUGAUCUUUUAAUAUAUCAACCUGCCAUCCACACCAGUAUUAAGAUCAAUACGAUCAGGUCCCAAUACUUAUGAAACCAACCCUUAGCUUUUCACAAAUAAAACCAGUAGUCCAAAGGAUUUGCUGAUUUGUAUAAAUUUGAUUUUAAAUUGAUUUUUAGUAUAAAGGUAAUUCAUACAACUUUGAAAAUCAAUAACUUCUACUAUAUAACUCCAAAUUACUCCAUUCAAGUUGCACUAGCCUCGUAAUAAAAUUGUCUACACUUUGGUAACCCUAUUUUUUAUCACGUGACAUGUUUUUUUAAAAGAAUACUUAUGUUCUUUGGAUUAACUUUUUUAAUUAAAGUUAAAAUGAUGUUUUCAGUCCCUAGUUAUAACUUGACCUCUAUUCAAGUUAUACCAUAGGUUUAAAAUUAGUUCUUUAAUUAUAAUGUCUUUCUCACCUGAAUUAUAAUCGAUAUAGAACAUUAGUUUCAAUAUUCAAUCCUCUGAACCUUCCGAAAGUCAUAUCUCUUUAACCAUAACUCCGUUCUUAGACAUUCUACAAUCCAUGAUCUCAUAGCAUCGCGUAGAAUUUACUAUUUGAUUUCUUCAUAUAUUUAUUUUAUUAUUUAUAUUUUUUUCUUAUACAAAAUUUGGCCCUUACAUUAUAUGUGGUAUCUUCUACAUUGUCACAUGGGUAUGAUUCUAUGAUCUCCGCGUACGACGGCUAUGACUCACUCUUCACCGCGGGGCAUUGUCAUUUGGCACUAAGGAGUUUGGGAUCACCAUCCAUGUAGGCUGCGAUAAAAGGAUGGACGAGAAGUACAAGGUGGUGAUUAAUGAUGCCACAUGAUCAGCCUGUUGCAUUUGAGAAUGAUGUUAGCGGGCUACUCCACUAAUAUCUAGGUCUUCGACCGUGCCGUGUGACGUAAUAGUUGAUGUAAAUUUAGAGAGUAACACUAAACUGGUUGUCGGUAAAGAAUUUAUGAGAUAUUAUGCCUCAUUUUUAUAUAAUCAUUAUGCACUAAUA